Hebeloma cylindrosporum is the source of this 85-nucleotide transfer RNA. It matches the Rfam family "tRNA". Rfam says of the family: Transfer RNA (tRNA) molecules are approximately 80 nucleotides in length. Lineage: Eukaryota; Fungi; Basidiomycota; Agaricomycetes; Agaricales; Hymenogastraceae. The record is from Rfam.
GCAUUAAUGGGGUAGUGGUAACCUGGGUCGUUGCCAUUCGAGUGAUAAGCUCGACCCGCCGGGGGUUCGAUUCCCUCUUAAUGCA